GGAGGUAUAGCUCAGAGGUAGAGCACCUGUUUAGCAGGCAGGAGGUCCUAUGUUCAAUCCCCAGUACCUCCA
This is a transfer RNA of Camelus ferus (Wild Bactrian camel), 72 nucleotides long. It matches the Rfam family "tRNA". Rfam says of the family: Transfer RNA (tRNA) molecules are approximately 80 nucleotides in length. Their secondary structure includes four short double-helical elements and three loops (D, anti-codon, and T loops). The record is from Rfam. NCBI's taxonomy places the organism in Eukaryota, Metazoa, Chordata, Mammalia, Artiodactyla, Camelidae.